CCUACGGGAGACAGCAGUGAGGAAUAUUGGUCAAUGGGCGGAAGCCUGAACCAGCCAAGUAGCGUGCAGGAUGACGGCCCUACGGGUUGAAAACUGCUUUUAUACGGGAAUAACGCGCCUUACGUGUAGGGCUUUGCAUGUACCGUGUGAAUAAGUACCGGCUAAUUCCGUGCCAGCAUCCGCGGUAAUAAGGAAGGUCCGGGCUUUCUCCGGAUUUAUUGGGUUUAAAGGGAGCGUAGGCCGCAUGUCAAGCGUGCUGUGAAAUGUCCGGGCUCACCCCGGGACUUGCAGCGCGAACUGGCGUGCUUGAGUCCGCGGAAAGCAGGCGGAAUUCGUCGUGUAGCGGUGAAAUGCUUAGAUAUGACGAAGAACCCCGAUUGCGAAGGCAGCUUGCUGCAGCGGAACUGACGCUGAUGCUCGAAAGCGUGGGGAGCAAACAGGAUUAGAUACCCUAGUAGUC
Molecule: ribosomal RNA, 460 nt
Filed under: uncultured bacterium
Lineage: Bacteria
Description: partial 16S ribosomal RNA
Rfam family: Bacterial small subunit ribosomal RNA
Source: RNAcentral